GUGAGUCAUCGAAUCUUUGAACGCACAUUGCGCUUCGUGGUAUUCCGCGGAGCAUGCUCGUUUCAGAAUCAUUAAAAAACUCACAGCCUGUGGAAUGUUGUCGGGUUUUUACUCCUUGUGGGUAUAACCUGCGGCAUUACCACCGGCCUGUAGGAUAUGGGCACUUUUGGAGAUCAUAACCAAUUGCCUUAAAGUUAGUGAGUGCGUGACUUUUUGUUAAUUUGCCGACCCUCAGUGCAACAGCUUUAGAUUCACUCCUGGGCACAAAUUGGGAGUCACCACCUGUAAAUAACACAGAGC
RNAcentral lists this unclassified non-coding RNA (300 nucleotides) under uncultured Spizellomycetales. Its description in RNAcentral is "sequence contains 5.8S rRNA gene, ITS2". The stretch from base 1 to 71 matches the Rfam family "5.8S ribosomal RNA", at positions 84 to 154 of the family's 154-position model. The record is from RNAcentral. Lineage: Eukaryota; Fungi; Chytridiomycota; Chytridiomycetes; Spizellomycetales.